RNAcentral lists this ribosomal RNA (262 nucleotides) under uncultured bacterium. RNAcentral's name for it is "partial 16S ribosomal RNA". It matches the Rfam family "Bacterial small subunit ribosomal RNA", at positions 512 to 773 of the family's 1533-position model. The record is from RNAcentral.
CAGCCGCGGUAAUACGAAGGGGGCUAGCGUUGUUCGGAAUUACUGGGCGUAAAGCGCACGUAGGCGGAUUGGCAAGUUAGGGGUGAAAUCCCGGGGCUCAACUCCGGAACUGCCUUUGAUACUGGCAAGCUAGAGUCCGGAAGAGGUAAGUGGAACUCCUAGUGUAGAGGUGGAAUUCGUAGAUAUUAGGAAGAACACCAGUGGCGAAGGCGGCUUACUGGUCCGGAACUGACGCUGAGGUGCGAAAGCGUGGGGAGCAAAC